This 250-nucleotide long non-coding RNA is filed under the name Phoenix dactylifera (date palm). RNAcentral describes it as "long non-coding RNA (PDAC_LNC018211)". The record is from RNAcentral. Lineage: Eukaryota; Viridiplantae; Streptophyta; Magnoliopsida; Arecales; Arecaceae.
GAGCCAUACGCAUUAAAUGUGGAGUAAGCCGGAGAUCCGCAUUAAUUGCAGAGUAGGCCGGAGAUCCGCAUUAAUUGCAGAGUAGGCCGGAGAUCCGCAUUAAUUGUUGAGUGAACUGGAGGUUUACAGUAGCCAUGCGCAAUAAAUGCUGAAGCAGCGGCAGGAUAUGGUCCUCGGUUGGACCUCGGAGGAGUACGGCCGUAGUAGGUGGCUGACAAGGGUAGACCUUGAGCAUCAGGAUUUUCCUAGG